RNAcentral lists this ribosomal RNA (2179 nucleotides) under human gut metagenome. Its description in RNAcentral is "bacterial LSU rRNA". It matches the Rfam family "Bacterial large subunit ribosomal RNA", at positions 871 to 2925 of the family's 2925-position model. The record is from RNAcentral.
UAGGUGCAGCGUCGGUUGAUUGCAUCGCGGGGGUAGAGCUACUGGAUGCUUGCGGGCCCGUGUCGGGUACCAAUAGCAGCCAAACUCCGAAUACCGUGGAUGUGUAUUCCGGCAGUGAGUCGGCGGGGGAUAAGCUCCGUCGUCGAGAGGGAGACAGCCCAGACCGUCGUCUAAGGUCCCGAAGCGUGUGCUAAGUGGGAAAGGAUGUGGAGUCGCAUAGACAGCCAGGAGGUUGGCUCAGAAGCAGCCACCCUUGAAAGAGUGCGUAACAGCUCACUGGUCUAGUGGUUCCGCGCCGACAAUGUAGCGGGGCUCAAGCACACCACCGAAGACGCGGCAACAGUUUUUGCUGUUGGGUAGGAGAGCGUCCCGCGUGGGGCGAAGCGGCCGGGGAACCGUGCCGUGGACCGCGCGGGAGUGAGAAUGCAGACAUGAGUAGCGAGAGACGGGUGAGGAUCCCGUCCGCUGGAUGACCAAGGGUUCCGGGGCCACGUUCGUCGUCCCCGGGUGAGUCGGGUCCUAAGGCGAGGCCGACAGGCGUAGUCGAAUGGAUGAACGGGUGGAUAUUCCCGUACCGGCGGCGUACCGUAAGAGCCGAACGGAUGAGUACUAACCUCCGGUCGCGUGGCGUCGUUCCCUUCGGGGUUCGGGGCGCGUGGCUGUUGGGAGCGUAGUCCUGGUAGGCUAGCGCACAGGGGUGACACGGAAUGGGAGCCGGCCGCGGAGGUGGUUUUCCGUGGUCAAGCACGCAGCCCGUCCCAUAGGCAAAUCCGUGGGACGCAUAGGGUGAGGUGUGAUGAUGGGCGUCCUUUGGACGCGAUAUCCGGUGGUCCAGGCCGUCGAGAAAAGCCUCGGCGCGAGGGGCGUCGCCGCCCGUACCCCAAACCGACACUGGUGGUCAGGUAGAGAAUACCAAGGCGAUCGAGCGAAUCCUGGUCAAGGAACUCGGCAAAUCACUCCCGUGCCUUCGGUAUAAGGGAGACCCCCGGGCGUGAAGAGGCUUGCCCUCGGAGCGUUGGGGGGUGGCACAGACCAGGGGGUAGCGACUGUUUACCAAAAACACAGGUGCAUGCGAAGGCGCAAGCCGCUGUAUAUGCACUGACGCCUGCCCGGUGCCGGAAGGUUAAGAGGAUCCGUCAGCCUUCGGGUGAAGCGGUGAAUUCAAGCCCCGGUAAACGGCGGUGGUAACUAUAACCAUCCUAAGGUAGCGAAAUUCCUUGUCGGGUAAGUUCCGACCUGCACGAAUGGCGUAACGACUUCCCCACUGUCUCGACCAGGAGCUCGGCGAAAUUGCAGUACGAGUAAAGAUGCUCGUUAAGCGCAGAAGGACGAAAAGACCCCGGGACCUUUACUAUACCUUGGUAUUGGCGUUAGGCGCGGAUUGUGUAGCAUAGGCGGGAGGCUUCGAAGCAUGGGCGCCAGCCCGUGUGGAGCCGCAAGGUGAAAUACCGCUCUGUUCUCGUUUGACGUCUCACCUCGAACAGUCAUCCUGUUCAGGGACAGUGCCUGGCGGGUAGUUUAACUGGGGCGGUUGCCUCCCAAAGAGUAACGGAGGCGCUCAAAGGUCCGCUCAGCCCGGUUGGCAAUCGGGUUUCGAGUGUAAUCGCACAAGCGGGCUUGACUGCGAGAACGACGGUUCGGGCAGGGACGAAAGUCGGAGAUAGUGAUCCGGUGCCGGCGCACGGGCGCGGCAUCGCUCAACGGAUAAAAGGUACCCCGGGGAUAACAGGCUGAUCAUUCCCAAGAGUCCAUAUCGACGGGAUGGUUUGGCACCUCGAUGUCGGCUCGUCGCAUCCUGGGGCUGGAGCAGGUCCCAAGGGUUCGGCUGUUCGCCGAUUAAAGCGGCACGCGAGCUGGGUUCAGAACGUCGUGAGACAGUUUGGUCUCUAUCCUCUGCGCUCGUUGGAAUCCUGAGGAGGCCUGCCCAUAGUACGAGAGGACCUGGGUGGACGGACCUCUGGUAUGCCGGUUGUCGCGCCAGCGGCAUGGCCGGUUGGCUACGUUCGGGAGGGAUAACCGCUGAAAGCAUCUAAGCGGGAAGCCUGCUCCAAGAUUAGGAUUCCUUGACGCUCCCCGGAGCGUCCGAAGCCCGCAUGUUGAACACGUGUUCGAUAGGCCGGAGGUGGAAGCCCCGCGAGGGGUGGAGCCGACCGGUACUAACGGGCGAACGCGGCACACU